UACGUAGGGGGCAAGCGUUGUCCGGAAUCAUUGGGCGUAAAGAGCGUGUAGGCGGCUCGGUAAGUCCGCUCUGAAAGCCCGGGGCUCAACCCCGGGAGGCGGGCGGACACUGUCGGGCUAGAGUCCGGAAGAGGCGAGUGGAAUUCCUGGUGUAGCGGUGAAAUGCGCAGAUAUCAGGAGGAACACCAAUGGCGAAGGCAGCUCGCUGGGACGGUACUGACGCUGAGACGCGAAAGCGUGGGGAGCAAACAGG
RNAcentral lists this ribosomal RNA (253 nucleotides) under uncultured bacterium. RNAcentral describes it as "partial 16S ribosomal RNA". It matches the Rfam family "Bacterial small subunit ribosomal RNA", at positions 524 to 776 of the family's 1533-position model. The record is from RNAcentral.